GAUGAUAUUUUCUUCUCUUCUUUUUGUGAGAAUCAAAUUGCUUUUUCUUGUCUUAUCAAUAGAUCUGAGCCUCAAUUUUACUUUUAAUUGCUUGUAUUUGAUUGUUAUUGUUAAAAGGGUGUCUAUGGUAUAUGAUGGAAAAUAUUUUUGUUGGUGAAAUUUUUAUUUGGUUACUAAUGUGUUUUCCUAUGAGAGGAAGAAAGUUGGGAACUUUUUAGGUGAGAACCAAGAAUUUUCCUGAAAAAAAAAAAAUUCAGCCCAGAAAGAGAAAUGAGGUUAAUAUCUCUGUUUGUGCUAAUGAUUUUCUGUAACUACUAAACAAACAGCUCUUGUUCAUGGAUUACUCAUAAACAGAAGCUAUGAACUAUAGACUCACUGUGUGUCUGUGUUGGAGACUUUUUAGCUGAAAGGCCUGUGUAAAUCUUGAUUUAAGAAACUGGUGUGUGUGUGUGUGUGUGGGGAGAAACAUUUUAGCUGAAAGGCUUGUGUAAGUCUUGAUUUAAGAAACGUACGCGUGUGUGUGUGUGUGUGUGGAGACUUUUUAGCUGAAAGGCUUGUGUAAUUCUUGAUUUAUGAAACUAGUGUGUGUAUGUCUGUAGAAUUUUUAGCUGAAAGUCCUGAGUAAGUCUUGAAUUGUGAAACUAGUGUGUGUGUUUCUUUUUUCCUGAUUUUGAGUAAUUUUGCAAAAGAAGCAGUGUGAUAUUGAGGCUUUCAUGAUGAUUUUUCAGAGAAAAUAGAAUUGGGUAUUACAGUUACAGGCUUGUAUGUUGGCAGAGAAACCUAAAUAUGUGUAAAAAAAUGGCAUAAAAAUUGGAUCCUUUUAUUUACCCGCACUCUUUUUGUUGCUGUUUUAUCUUAUGUUUCUCUUCUUGCUGCUAUUGUGCUGUUUUAUGAACCAAACAGCUAGAAAUCAUUGUAAAAAAUAGCAUAAAAUGCGGUAUAUGCAUUAAAAAUGGAUCUCUUCUUAUACCCAUAACCCAUGUUGUUUUUGUUGCUGCUGCAUCUUCUGUUUCUCUUCUUGUUGCUAUUGUGCUGUUUUUUGAACCAAACAGCAAGAAAUCACUGUGAAGAUAAAGCUUCUCUUGAGCAAUUUGGGUUAGGCAUUGAGAUGAUAAGAGCUGUAUCUUGGCGGGGUAACCCGAAGAGGUUGCAGCCAUGGCAGUUUCUGAUAAAACCCAAUGCCUAAAAAAGGGCAGCCUGGUGCACUAAGCUCCCGUUAUGCGCGGGCGGGGUCAGGGGAAGGGCCGACCACAAGGGUCAGUUGUACGCAGCCUUACCCUGCACUUCUGUAAGAGGCUGUUUCCACGGCUUGAACCGGUGACCUCCUGGUCUCAUGGCAUCAACUUUACCAGUUACGCAAGGCUCCCCUUCAAAAAAACCCAAUGCCUAAUUAAAUUGAAAUCUGAGCCUCAUUAUGUACACCAUGCGACAUAGGGAAAUUACAUAUAUUACCCCCAAACUUGUCCCGAAAAGUCAUUUAAAUACUUAACUUUACGAGAAAAAGCUCAAAAUUGUCCCUUAUCGAGACGGUGAUGAUCUUUCAAUCUAUCAUCCUUGGCUAGUCAUUGAGCAUAGCGAGUACCGACCCAUAUCUUGGCAGGGCAAUCACACGGAUGCUUGUAAUUUUAUUGCAUGCAACUCGGGUAUUUGCAGCCAUGGCGGGGCUGGACUUCCUUUGCCUAAGCAUAAAUACAGAUCUGAGCCUCAGUUCUCAUCCCAUAAUCUUACUUUUGGUGUACUUGACAUGGAGGAAACUCUUUCAGUCAACCAAGGCUGCUGGAUUCAGAGAGUUUUGGGGAGUUCUUUGAGUGGUUUCCCCUCUCUGGCAUUCUCAGCAGUCAAUGAUCGCUCAAAAUUUCCCCUUUUCACACGACUCUUUAGCAAGUAAGUUCAAAUGAGGCAGUGAAGAUUUUUAUUCUUUACUCAUCAGAUGGUUGAACUUUGCUAUGUCUUGGCGUGGCAGCUUAAGGCUUCUUAAGCUUGCAGCCAUGGCAGGGUUUGGCUUAUGUUUGAGAAAAGGCUAAUCUGAGCCUCCAGUGACUUCUCAUAUGAAAAUAAAGAGACUCAAACAGCCCUUUAAAUGGUGGGAUCUUUACCGAAAUAGCCGGCCAGAUUCACUAUUAACUUUUUCCAACCAUAUAGUCAAACUUCUCUGUAACAACCAUCCUCUCUAACAACACUUCACUGUAACGGCCAAGUUUUCUUUGGAACCAAUUUUUCAGUUUAUGUUAUAAUAUAUGUUCUGCUGUAGCAGCCAACAAAUGUCCGGAGCAAACGAGGCGGUUAAAAACUCAGAGAAAAGAGAGGAGGAAUUUUCAAAAGGUGGUUUCCUUCUCUGUAACUCCAGUGACUUCUCAAAAAAAAAAAAAAAAAAGAGUAAAGAACAAAACAGCCUUUUAAAUCUCAGGGAAAAAUUAUUCAUACCAUGUUGAAGGUUUUUGCCUCAAGUGGUCCUUUAUGUUAAGGAGUUGAGCUGUUAAGCAGAAGUUAGAGAAUUCUGAGGCUGUGAUGAUAUUGUCUUCUCUUCUUUCUUUGAGCAAAUUAAUGGGGCAAGAAAAUUAGAAGUGACCCGUAUCUUGGUGGGGCAAUCCGGAUGGCAAGUGAUCGUUCUGUCAUGCAACCGGUGUUUGCAGCCAUGGCGAUGUCUUGAUUCUCUUGUCUUAUCAACAGUUCUGAGUCUCUAACUUUACUCUUAUAGCUUGUUUGGAUGGCUGUUACCUAUUGUAUUGUUAUUUUAAAAUGGCGUCUUUGGCAUGAUGGGAAACAUAUUUUUCAUGUUGAGAUCAGUAUUUGGUUACUAUAACUCUGAAGUUCGGAACUUUUAAGGAGAGAGCCAAGAAUUUUCCUAAAAAAAGUCCGCCCAGAGAGAGAAAUGAGGCCAACAGAGGGAAGGGAUUUUCUGUUGAGGGUGGUUGCCCCUCUCUGUUGUGCCUGUGAUUUUCUGUAGGUACUAAACGUCUAAACCAACAGCCCUUGUUCAUGAAAUGCUGAGAAACAGCAUAUGCUUCUUCAGUAUACAGUUUUACUGCUGAACCUCUGUGUAUCUGUGUGUGCAUGUGUUUCUUUUUCCUCCUUCGGAAUAAUUUUACAAAAGAGGUAGUGAUGAUAAUAACGUUCACUUUCUGGGCUAACAAAAUUGGGCAUAGUGGACAAUCCCAACUCGUAUCUUGGCCUGGCAAAUCUCUUGUUGUGCAAGCAACUGGUGAUUUUGCAGCCAUGGCGUAGUUGCCUUCACUUUAUCCAAGCAAACUGCAGUAUCUGAGCCUCAAGUUUCUGAAAUCAAACUCAGGAUGUUUGGUGCUUUGAAAAAUGUGGUAUACGUGUAAAAAAAAAAAAAUGGAUCUUUUUUAUAUACCUAUGUUGUAUGUUGUUUUUGUUGCUGUUGCAUCUUAUGUUUCUCUUCUUGCGACUGUCAUGCUGCUUUAUGAACCAACAGCAACAACAACAAAAAACCUAGUAUAGACCCCACUCGGAAGGGUAGUGUGUAUGCAGACCUUACCCCUACCUUGAGGUUGUUUCUGAUAGACCCUCAUUUGCUUUUAUGAACCAAACAACAAAAGAUAAGAACAUGCUGAAUCAUGGUGGCUGUGAAGAUUUUCUUGAGCAAUUUGAGUAAGGCAUUGAGAUAAUAAGAGCCAUAUCUUGGCGGGGUAACUCGGAAAGGUUGCAGCCAUGGCGGUUUCUGAUAACACCCAAUGCUUAAUUAAAUUGGAAUCUGAGCCUCGUUAUGUACAUUGAUACGACAUAGGGACAAUACAUAAAUUACACCCAAACUUGUCCCGAAUAAUCAUUUACAUACUCUAACUUUAUGAGAAGUAGUCCAAAAUUGUCCCUUAUUGAGACGGUGAUGAUCUUUCAAUCCAUCAUCCUAAGCUAGUCAUUGAGCAUAGGGUGUACCCGACCCGUAACUUGGCGAGGCACUGACCCGGAUGUUUGUAAUUUUAUUGCAUGCAACUGGCGAUAUUUGCAGCCAUGGCGUGGCUGUACUUUCUUUGCCUAAAACAUAUAUAGAUCUGAGCCUCCAUUUUCUCCAUAAUCUUACUUUGAGUGUACUUGAUACGGAGGAAUCCAUUUCAGUCAAUCUGAGGCUGCUGGAUUCAGAGAGCUUUGGGGAGUUCUUUGAGUGGUUGCACCUCUCUGGCAUUCUCAGUAGCCAAAAAUCACUCAAAAUUUCCCCCUUUUCGGACCUCUCUUUAGGAAUAAGUUCAAAUGAGGCAGUGAAGAUUUUCUUUCUUUACUCAUCAGAUGGUUGAGCUUUGCUGUAUCUUGGCGUGGCAGCUUAAGCUUUUGCAGCCAUGGCGAGGUUUAGCUUAUGCUUGAGAGAUGGCGAAUCUGAGCUUCCAGUGGCUUCUCAUAUGAAAAAUGAGAGAAUCAAACAGUCCUUUAAAUGUUGGGAUCUUACACAAAUAACCCGUCUGAUUCACCGUUUACUUACACAAAUACACUAAUUAUAUACGGUCAUACAUGUUUUACGUGGAUUAUACAUAUUUUAUACAUCUGCCGGCUACUUUAGUUUAGGCGGUUGGGUGGAUGGCUAUUUAGGUUAAUUCUUCUUAAAUGUUUGGGUAUGGAUUCACCAAAAGGUACAAACAACAACAACAACAAACUCAGUUUGAUCCCAUAAAUGGGGUCUGGGGAGGGUAGUGAGUACGCAGACCUUACCCCUACCUCAUAGAGAUAGAGAGUCUGUUUUUGAUAGACCCUCGGCUCAAGGAGGAUUCACCAGAAGGUAAAAGUAGAAAUAUUGCUUCUUUAAAAGACUGUCUUGGCGGGGCAACCAGGAUGGCAAGUUAUCUUUGUGUCAUGCAGCCGGUGUUUGCAGCCAUGGUCAUGUCUUCGUUCUCUUGUCUUAUCAACACUUCUGAGCCUUAGUUUUACUCUUACUGCUUUAGUCAUAGAUCUCAGUGUGUUUUUUUGGGGAAUUUGCACAAAUAGCCUUUUGUGAGGCAGCGAUGAUAAUUAUGUUCACUUUCUUGGCUAACAGAAUCGGGCAUUGAGGACAAUCAGAUCCGUAUCUUGGCCUGGCAAAUCCCUUCUUGUGGAUGCAAAUGGUGAUUUGCAGCCAUGGCGUGGUUGCCUGCACUUUGGAAUAACACACAAAAGGGAAUUCACUUCCAAGAGGAAUAAUUAGGGACAUCCUCAGCAGGUUACCUGUGUGGUCUCUUCUUCGAUUCAAACGUGUUUCAAAAUAUUGGAAUACAUUAAUCUCUGAUCCUUACUUUAAGAUGAAGCAUCAGAAUGACCAAAAUCCCCAAUAUUUUCUUGUUAGCCAAAGGUGCCUUGAUAAGGUGAUAUGUAUAACUUCAAUUGUUAUUCUUUAUCGUCGAUUGAUGUACAAAAGUUUUGAUUGUCCUUUAAACUGUAAACCAAGGUGUUAUGUAAUGUUAUGUUUUGAUUGUCUCUUAAAAGAAAAAUCUCAAGGAAACAUAAUUCGCACCCUGUGAAUUUUUUUACUCAAAUGGUCCUUUAUGUUAAGGAGCUGAACUUAACUCAUGCCUACAACUCCUCAUAAAGACGAGAGAGACAGAGAGUGAGUUGAGUUCUGAGGCUGAGAUGAUACUUUCUUCUCUUCUUGGGGCAAGAGAAAUAAAGGGACUCAUAUCUUGACAGGGCAACCCGGAUGGCUACCGGUGUUUGCAGCGAUGGCAGAUGUCUUCAUUCUCUUGUCUUAUCAACAAAUCUGAGCCUCAAUUUUACUCUUAUAGCUUGUUUGGAUGGUUGUACCUAUUGUACUGUAUUGUUAUUUAAAAGGGUGUCUUUGGUAUGAUGGAAAAUAUUUUUCAUGAUGAAAUCAGUGUUUGGUUACUUAUGUAUUCAUAUGAGAAAAGAUAAGUUGGGAAAUUUUCCUAAAAUUCUUCCCAGAAAGAGAAAUGAGGUUAAUAGAGGGAAGGGAUUUUCUUCUAACAGUGGUUGCCCCUUUCUUUUGUGCCAAUGAUUUUCUUUAGCUGCUAAACCUAAGCCCUUGUUCAUGAAAUACACAGAAACAGCAGCUAUGAUCAUUGAAGCAUAUGCAUGGAUUUUCUUCAAUCUACUGCUUCAUUCAUAGAUCUCAGUCUGUAUUUUUGCAGGGAAUUUGCACAAAUAGCCUUUCAUGAGGCAGUGAUGAUAAUAUGCACUUUCUGGGCUAACAAAAUCGGGCAUCGAGGACAAUCACUCGUAUCUUGGCCUAGCAAAGCCACAGAUGGCCUGCAAUUGAGGCUCUCUCUUUUGCAUGCAACCGUUGAUUUUGCAGCCAUGGCGUGGUUCCCUUCACUUUGCCUGAUCAAAAUGCUAAAUCUGAGCCUCAAAUUGCUUUAAAAGACUGACUUUGAGAAGAGUAAUAAGCAGACACAAAAUCUCAGAGAGAAGAGAGGAGGCUUGCAGAGAGGAGUUCUUCAAAGGGUGGUUGCCCCUCUCUGCAACUUCAGUGACUCCUCAUGUGAAACAAAAAUCAAAGAACCCUUUAAGUUGGCGUUUGGACAUAAGAAUUAUGAAAUCCCGGAAAAAAGUGAAGUUCUUUUUCAAGUGAAAAUGCUCCUUUAUGUUAAGGAGUUGAACUAAGAGCCUGUUGGAUUAGCUGAAUUUAAGUAGCUUUUAAGUGGAUGAGAGAGAAUUCAGAGGCUAUGAUGAUUGUCUUCUCUUCUUUCUCUGAGCAAAAACCAACGGGGCAAGAGAUAUUAAGGAACCCGUAUCUUGGUGGGGUGACCCGGAUGGCAAGUGAUCUUUGUGUCAUGCAACCGGUGUUUGCAGCCAUGGCGAUGUCUUCAUUCUCUUGUCUUAUCAACAGAUCUGACCUCAAUUUUACUCUUAUUGCUUCUGUCAUUUAUCUCAGUGUUGCUUCUUUGCUUCUGGGGAAUUUGCACAAAUAGCCUUUUUUUGAGGGUGAAGUACACAAAUAGCCCUCAAAGUGGAUGAUCUUCAAUUUUUUUGCCCCGCUUGCCCCAUGGGCAGAACUUCAAGUUUAACAAGUGUUGCACCUCACUUACCUCAUGAGCAACAGUUUCAACUUUUGACCUUGAAGUGCCCCCAUGGGGCAAGCGGGGAUCAAAAGUUAAAGAUCACCCCAAAAGUGUCAUAUUUCCGCAAUUAUUUUGUUUUUCUUCUGAGGCAGUGAUGAUAAUAUUAUUUCACUUUCUGGGCUAUCAGAAUCGGGCAUUGAGGAAAAUAAGGGGACCUGUAUCUUGGCGGGGCAACCCGGUUGGCGAGUGAUCUCUCAUGCAACCGGUGCUUGCAGCCAUGGUGAUGUCUUCUUUCUGUUGUCAUAUUUUCAAUUCAACAUAUCUGAGCCUUAUUUUUCUCUUGUGGUGUCUUUGCUAUGAUGGAAAAUAUUUAUCAUGAUGGAUCAGUAUUUGUUUACCAAUUUAUCCAUAUGAGAAGAGAAAAGUUGGGAAAUUUUUGGGUGAAAGCCAAGAAUUUUCCAAAAUGAAGUCAGCUCAGAAAGAGAAAUGAGGUUAAGGCCUCAUUUCUUUGCACUUAAUGAGGGUCCGAAUCUGGAUGAAUCAGAUCUUAGCCCAUUAAGUAUAUUUGUUUUUUUAUUUUUAAAAAGUCUGGAUAGGUCUGGUUGGGUCUGAUUCGGCCAGACCUUUAAUUGAGUCUUAAUUCCGUUCAGAGGUUGAAAAUACACGCCUCUUUUUUGGGUGCUCCUUUUCUCUCUCUUGACAUCAGGCUAUUUCUUCUAAACCCAAAACAAAUUUCAUCCUUCACACGUCUCUCUCUUCAAGGAUCAAGCAGCCGCCGAAUCUUUUUCUGGGUAAGAUUUUGAAAAUUAUACUUGGAAUUCUCAACGCAGUAAAGUGGAUAAGGGUGGCUGCCCCUCUCUGUUUUGCCAAUGAUUUUCUUUAGCUACUAAACCAACAGCGCUUGUUCAUGAAAUACUCAGAAACAGAAGCUAUGAACCAUAGACCUCAGUGUGUGUGAGACUUCUUAACUGAAAAGCCCGUAAUCAGGCAUUGAGAUAAUCUGACCCGUAUCUUGGCCUGGCAAAUCCUCUCUUGUGCAUUCAACUGGUGAUUUUGCAGUCAUGGCGUGGUUGUCUUCUCUUUCCCUGAUCAAAAUGCAGGUUUGAGCCUCAAAUUUCUGGACAUUGAAACUGGUUACUCUUGUUCUUUGGAAUUUAUUGAUUUUGGCCCAAAUUUAGCCCAGAAAGGACGAAUGAGACAUCAGAGAGAUGGUAUUUUCAGUAAAGGGUGGUUGCCACUCUCUGCUAUGUCCAUGAUUUCUCCAUUCAUGAAACCAACAGCCCUUUGAGAAAAAAAAAGCGAAUAAAAAACCAUCUAAACAACAUCUGUUGAGUAUUUGCCCCUGUGAAGGGACUAUACUCUUCCUUUCUCUGCUUUUGCUUCUGAUUUAAACAAAUAGCUACUUUUGUUGCCUUGUACUUAGAAAGCCAUAACUGAUGUUGAUCUUCGCAGAUCACCUGAAAUGGGCUGUGAUGAUGAGUGCUUCUUUCUGUGUUAUCCACUUUACUGCGAUGAGAAAUUCCGAUCCAUAUCUUGGCGGCCCGACCCGGUAUGGCAUUCAUUUGCAAACUGGUGUCUUGCAACCAUGGCGUCUCUUUUUCUUUGCAUGUUCAUAUACAGCAAAAUCUGAGCCCUAAAGUCUAUGACAACCGUUUGAUGGUCUUCUUAGGCUUGCAGCCAUGUCAGGGUUUAGCUUAUGUCUCUGAAAAGGUUAAUCUGAGACUCCCAAGUAUCUGUUUGUGUUCAAAGAAUGAGGAUUACUAUGGAACUUGAGAAAGGUUGAGAUUUUCUAAGGGUGGUUACUCUCUUUCUCCAAAGUUCUAUUUAGCCAAUGAAUAUUUCUUUACCUUUGUUACGAAGAGACAAAUUUACAUCCCUUUCAUCGGCAAAAUGCCAAUUAUGGGAAUGACGAGGCUAAAUUAUCGCAAUAUUAAGCAGUGAAUAAGUAUUCACCAGAGGGCAAAAGUAGAAAUAUUGCUGCUUUAAAGGACUGACUUUGAGACGAACAAUAAGUAGUCACAAAAGCUCAGAGAGAAGAGAGGAGUUCUUCAAGGGUUGUUGCAACUCAGUGACUUCUCAUAUGAGAAAAAUAUCAAGCCACCCUUUAAAUCUCAGGGAAAUUGUACACAUAUUUAACCACUCGGCCAAUGUUACUCUGCUUCUUGUUUUAUGGUUUUCUAAACUCAAGAUGGUCCUUAUGUUUCGGAGUUGUACUAAAUUCAUGUGUGCAACUCCUCACCCUAAAAAAGAAGAAACUGAGGCUGUGCUGAUACUUUCUUCUCUUCUUUAUCUGAGCAAAUCAAUGAGCAAGAGAAAUACAGGGACCUGUAUCUUGGCGGGGCAAUCUGGAUGGCAAGUGAUUUUUGUCAUGCAAUUGGUGUUUGCAGCCAUGGCGAUGCCUUCAUUCUCUUAUCUUAUCGACAGAUCUGAGCCUCAGUUUUACUCUUAAUAGCUUGUUUGGAUGGUUGUUACCCAUUGUAUUAUGUUGUCAUUUUAAAUAGGUUCUUUGGCAUGUAGGAAAAUGUUUUUCUGAUUAAACCAGUGUUUGAUUACUCAUUACCGAUAUAUACCUAUGAGAAGAAGAAAGAUUGGAAUUUUCAGGUCACAAAAGAGGCAGUGAUGAUAAUAAUGUUUCACUCUGAGAAAAAUCCGGCAUUGAGACAAUCUGACCCGUAUCUUGGCCUGGCAAAUCCCCUCUUGUGCACGCAACGGGUGAUUUUGCAGCCAUGGUGUGGUUCUCUUCACUUUGUCCGAUCAAAAUUGCAAAAUGUGAGCCUCAAAUUUCUACAUCAUUUUAGACGAAAACACCUUUCCAUUUCAAGCUAAGCAGUAAACAAAUAGUAUUCAGCAGAGGGAAAAACUAGAAAGGUUGGUGCUCUAAAAGACUUAGCUUUGACACAAGCAAAUGAUAAAUAAGCCCAGAAAGAAGAAUGAGGCUAGCAGAGAGGAGUUUUUACAUGGGUGGUUGCCCCUCUCUGCAACACCCGUGACUUCUCAUAUGAAAAAAAAUCAAACAGCCUUUAAAUAUCAGGGAAAUAGUGUUGUCCAAACAUAAAACACUCGGCCAAUGAUGCUCUGCUCUUGUUUAAAUGUUUUUGGCUCAAAUUGGUCCUUAUGUUUAGGAGUUGUAAUAAAUUCAUCUCUUCACCCAAAAAAAAAAAAAGAAACUGAGGCAGUGAUGAUAGUUUCUUCCUUCUUGCUUCCUUCUUUCUCUGAGCAAAUGAAUCGGGUUGUAUCUUGUGGGGGCAACCCGGAUGGCAAGUGAUCUUUGUAUCAUGCAACCAGUGUUUGCAGCGAUGGUGAUGUCUUCAUUCUCCUUUCUUAUUAACUGAUCUGAGCCUCAACUUUACUCUUUGGGUGUUUUGGUAUGAUAGAAAACAUUUUUUAUGAUGAAAUCAUGUACUUGGUUACCAGUGUAUCCCUAUGAGGAGAGAAAAGUUGUGAAAUUUUCAGGUGAGAGCCAAGAAUUCCUAAAAGAAAUCAGCCCAGAAAGAAAUGAAGUUAAGGGUGGUUGCCCCUCUGUUUGUUCCACUGAUUUUCUUUAGCAACUAAACCAACAGCCGUUGUUUAAGAAAUGCUCAGAAACAGAAAAUGAAUCCAUAUAUCUCAGUGUGUGUGCGUGUGUGUUCUUGGGGAAUUCGCACAAAUGGCCUUUUUUUGAGGCAGUUAUGAUAAUAAUGUCACGUUCUGGGCUAACAAAAUCGGGCAUUGAGGACAAUCCGGGCCAUUUCCUUGCCUGGGAUGGCCUACAUUUGAUGCUCUCUUUUGCAUGCACUCGGUGAUUUUGCAGCGAUGGCGUGGUUGCCUUCUCUUUGUCCGUGCAAAAUGCAGUAUCCGAGCCUCAAAUUCCUAGGAAUCAAACUUGUGACCUCUUGUGCUUUGAACAGUGCUCCCGAUUUCAGCUCAAGCUAGUGAACAAAAGAAUGAGGUAUCACAGAAGGCUACUUUUGCUUCUCAGGUAUACCCGUGAUUUCAAUCCAAAAAGCACUUUCUUUUCUCAGUGAAUGUAGUUGAUAGAUAGACAUAUAAUUAAAAAAAUUAUGAUGCUGUGAUGAUAAUGAUAGUCUUUUCCCGUCUUUCUCUGAGCAACUCAAUCGAGAAGGGAUCCCUAUCUUGGUGGGGCAACCCAAAUGGCGAGUGAUUUCCUGUCAUACAACCGGUGCUUGCAGUCAUGGCGAUGUCUUCAUUCUCUUGUCAUAUUCUCAAUAUCUGAACCUCAUUUUUUCUCUUAUGGUGUCUCUGGUAUGAUGGAAAAUAUUUAUCAUGAUGUAAUCAGUAUUUCGUACCAAUGUACCCCUAUGAGAAGAGAACUUGGGAAAUUUUCAGGAGAGAGCCAAGAAUUUUCCUAUAAAAAGGUCAGCCCAGAAAGAGAGUUGAGGCUAACAGAGGGAAGGGAAUUUCUGUUAAGGGUGGUUGCCCCUCGCUGUUGUGCCAAUGAUCUUCUUUAGCUACUAAACCAACAGCACUUGUCAUGAAAACUCAGAAACAGUUUCUUCAGUCUGCAGCUUCAGCCAUAGAUCUAUGUGUGUGCUUUUUUCUGUUCCCGCCUUUUUAGUAUUGUACAGAAGAGGCAGUGAUGAUAAUCUUUUCAGGGCUAACAAAAAAUGGCAUUGAGGACAAUAUGACCCGUAUCUUGGCCUGGCAAGUCCCUGGAUGGCCUGCAUUUGAGGCUGAUUACACUCUUUUGCAUGCAACAGGUGAUUUUGCAGCCAUGGCGCUGUUGCAUUCUCUUUGUUCGGGCAAAAUUCGGUAUCUGAGCCUCAGAUUUCUGUGAAUCGAACACCUCUUGUGCUUUGAAAUGUGUAACGUUUGCUCCAAAUUUUAACUCUUGCUAAGUAUCAAACAAGUAAGGUAUCACAUAAAGAUGUGUACUUUUUCUUCUCAGAGAUUUCUAUCCAAAAGCACACAACUAUAUAGAUAGAUAUAUAGUUAGAAAAUUGCUGCUUUUUUGCAAACCCGAAUCUAAAGGAAAAUGAAAGACAUGAUGAACAAGACAUUGGACUUGUAUUCAGUGCCUUAAGUUUGCUUUAAGUUCACAUUGGCUUCUUGCUUAAUCUCUCUGUUGCUAGAAGGAAAUAAAGGUUUCUCUAACUGGUCUUUUUGAUUAGAAAUUUGUGGUUUCUUUACAUUUUCCUUAAGCAUGAAAGGCCGAGAAAGGUAUGCUUGAGAAAUUAGCAGGACCUCUCAAUGGUAAGAUGUAAAAUGGAGGUCAAAUUGGGGUGUAUAUCAUUGUUGCCGUCUUCUGCUGCUUUAUAGUUGCUAACUCCACGACCACCUGUCAACAUAGCGGUUCUGACGAAAAAUAUCUUAAGUCAGGUUUGGGAUCUAAUGAAACUGUAUCUUGGCCAGGCAAUCUAGAUGUUACUGGAAUUACAGCCACGGCAGUGACUUCCUUCUUUCUCUGAGCAAAUGAAUCAAUAAAGAAAACAAUGGGCAUAUAUCUUGGAUGGCAACCCCAAUGGCAAGUGAUUUUUUGUGUCAUGCAACCGGUGUUUGCAGCCAUGACAAUGUCUUCGUUCUAUUGUCUUAUUUUCUUCAACAGAUCUGAGUCUCAAAUUUUUUCUUGGGGUGUCAUUGGCAUACAACAACAACUGAGCCUCAAGCCCAAAAAAAUCGGGGUUGGCUACAUUAAUCCUCAAUGUCCAUGCCACGUCAUCUAAGCUCAUGUCAGUCUAAUAUAAAAUGUUUGGGACCCUAAUGGAUCGGGAAUUUUAACCUAACGUGAAUCGAACACGCAACCUUCUGAUCUGGAGUCAGACGCGCUAUAUUGCACCAUGACAAGUCAGCCUAGAGAGAGAAUUGAGGCUAACAGAGAGAAGGGAUUUUCUCCUAAGAGUGGUUGCCCCUCUCUGUUUGUGCCAAUGAUUUUCUUUAGCUGCUAAAUCAACAGCCCUUGUUCAUGAAAUACUCAGAAAGGUCACUCUGAUCAUGUAAGAACAUGCAUUAAUCUCCAUAUGUUGUCAAUCCGCAGCUUCAGCCAUAAACUUGUGUCUGUAUGUGUGUUUUUAGCACGUUUCUUUUUCCUCAUUUUGAAUAAUAGAGGCAAUGAUGAUGUUAAUUGCUGGGCUGACAAAAUCGGGCAUUGAUCCAACCCGUAUCUUGGCUUGGCAAAUGGACGGUUUUUGCAGCCAUGGCGUGGUUGCCUUCUCUUUGCCUGAUCAAAAUGCAGAUAUGAGCCUCAGAUUUCUGGGAAUCGAACCUGGGUCCUCUUGUUCUUUGAAAUAUAUUAAUGUUUGGUCCAAAUUUUAGCUCAAGCUUCAGACCAAAAGAAUGAGGUGCCAGAGGAGAUGGGUACUUUUCUUCUCUGGUAAGCCCAUGAUUUCAAAACCAAAAGCACUUCACUUUCUCAUUGACUGUGGUUGACAAUUAGAUACAUGGGUAGAAAAAUUUCCAUGUAAACGCAAAAUCAAUCUACCGACUAUGCUCAAUCCCUGGACAUAAAUGAUUGGAAAUGCCAUAGGAAGGUAUUGAACGUUCGACCUUGUGGAUAAUAGCCACACGCUUUUACCAACUGAGCUACACCAUGUGAACCCAAGUCAGAUGAGAAGAAGUUGUGUGGAGAAAAUGAUAGAUAAAUAAAUAAAUGAUGGGGCUAUGAUGAAAUUCUUCUUAGAAAAUGCAAUGAAGCAUUCAGAUAAUUUGCGCCGUAGCUUGGCAGGGCGACCUGGUUAGCGUUUAUGGUAACAUGCUGAAAGUUUGCAGCCAUCACGGUGUUGAAAGACUGAAUGAGACUUGAACAAGAUCUGAGCCUAAAAUGUAUGGAUUAUUUGGUAUUUCUGCUUGCACUUGACCCUUUGUAUUUCAAAUUGUUUCCGUGUAAUGGCGAUAGUGACUUGCUGUCUUGCUUAAACGAUCUCAUUUUUCGGUAUUUUUUGCUAGAUUUUGUCUCUGCAGUUGACUUGCUGACUAAUCUGCUGCUACAGCAGUUGAGUUGCACAAAUAGCCGAUUUUAUGACCCCUUGUAUUUAGAACAAGGUAGAAAUGACACAAGGUAGCCACUUUAAAUGCUGCUAAUAAUGGGCUAUGAUGAUUUGAUUCUUUCUUUCUGGUCUAUCCUUCACCAGCUUUGAGGUAAUCUGUCCCGUAUCUUGGCGGGGCAACCCGGUAUGGCAUCUUCUGCAAACCGGUUUUGCAGCCAUGGCAUGGUCACUAUCUCUUUGCAUGUUCAUAAAAGCAAAAUCUGAGCCCUAAAAGUUUUACGACAACCAUUUGAUGGUCUUGAAUGAUGGUCGAUCUCUGGAACUGGAAAUCCAAUUGGGUUCUUCAGUUUUUUCUUGAACACCAAUUGUCAGAUGCAGUUCUCCAUCAAUUUUUUUGCUCAAAACUGAGGAAUCGGAGAAAAAUGGGGAUUUCAGGGUGGUUGACCAUCUCCGGCAUGGCAAGGAUUUCUAUGUUGCUCCAGACGAACAUCCCUUUCUGAGUAUGCAUGCAUCUAUGUCUCUAUCUUUGUUAAUACUUGUUAAUACUGUGCUCCUGCGUGGCUGCGUCUUGAGGCAAAGAAGGUUAAUUCUUCUUCUUGCUGGGCUAUAUCUACUUUAUAUAUGCAUUGAGAAAAUCCGACCCUGUAUCUUGGCGGGGCAAUCUGUGUAUGGCAAUCAUCUGCAAACCGGUGUCUGCAGCCAUGGCGUGUGUCCCUUUCUCUUUGCAGUUUACAAAAAACAGAUGUUGUUUAUAUAUGUGUGUUUGUUUAACCAAACCCCAUACAUUUAGGACCAUUUUGUUCAUUUUCUCUCGGUUUUCUGUUACUGUUAUGCUAUGUUCCUCACAGGCUGCAUUCUAUGGCAAAGCAACAGCAGUAACAUACAACAAUGAAAUUUAAAAGGAAAAUGAUGGGGCUGUGAUGAUUGGUUGUUAUUAAGCAUAUGGAACCUGGCAUUAUAGUUUCAGGCCUGUAUCUUGGCGGGGCAACCUGUUUUUUAGGGCUUGCAGCCAUGGCAGUGUCAAAGAACUCAUUGCCUGAGAUCAAUUACUUAUCUGAGCCUCAAGUCUUUCUGAAAUGGCUGAAUACAUCGAUGGCCCCUCAAACUUGUCAAAUUUUUUCAUUUAGACAUCUGAACCAAUGGUGGUUCUAUUGACCACCUGAACUCGAGUCAAACUGUGUCUAUUAGACACAUGUUGCUGAAGUUGUCCAUACGGGCUCUUAUGGAAAAAGCUUACAUUUUCCGGAAGAGGCAGUGAUGAUAUUGCUAAUCUGGGCAUUAUAACUGAGAAUCCAACUGUAUCUUGGCGGGGUAACCCGGUAUGGCAUCAUUUGCAAACCGGUGUCUGCAGCCAUGGCCUGUGAUGCUUUUCUCUUUGCACUAGUUCAUAGAACAGCAAAAUCUGAGCCCUAAAAGUUUUACGGCAGCCAUUUGAUGGUCUUGAAUGGAUGGUCGUUCUCUGGAACCGGAAAAAUGGAGGUUCAGUCCAGUAGAAGAAUGAGGCCAACAGAGAGAAAAAAGGAAUUCUUGUGAAGGUGGUUGCCCCCGCUGCUUGGCCUAUGAUUUCUCCAUCAACCAAACCAACAACACUCGUCAGCUUUCUGAUUUCUCUGAGUUUAAACUAUCCGUUUGAUCUCAGCGUUAGUUUGUCAAAAAUUGUCUGAAUUGUCCAAACAGGCUAUAUAUGGAAAAGUUACCAUUUCUCUAGAGGUAGUGAUGAUAUUGCUAAACCUGGGAUAAUAUUCGGGGCGUGGAGACAAUUCUAUCCCUAUCUUGGCAGGGCAAGCUCGGAUGGUUUGUGAUCAAGGCUUCUCUUUUACAUGCAACUGGUUCUUUUGCAGCCAUGGCAUCGUCGUAUUCUCUUUGCCCCAUUUUUUUGUAGAUCUGAGCCUCAGUUUCCAACUAGUACAUCUGGACUUAUCUGCUUUUCAGGACUUGAACCAGGACGUCUAUAACCCAUUUGUGUUAUUCAUUUUUUCUUGUUUGUUGCAGUUCUCCAUCAGACUUUUAGCGAAUGAGGCAAUUGGAGAAAAAAGUAUUUUCGAGGUAGUUGAACACCUCCAUCAUGUCUAUGAUUUCUAUUUCCUUUAGUAAACAGCUUUUUCUGUUUAUGUGUGGGUUUGUUUAACCAACCCCUAUACAUUAAGGACCAUCUUGGUCAUUUCUCUCUGUUUUCUGUUACUGUUAUACUCUGUUCCUCAGAGGCUGCGUAUCUAUGGCAAGCAACAGCAAAAGCGUACAACAAUGAAAGGGAAAAGGAAAAUGAUGGGGCUGUGAUGAUUGAUUGUUAUUAAGCAUAUGGAACCUGGCAUUUCAAACCUGUUUCGAAAAAUGCUUUUCUUGAGCCUAGGGUCUACUGGAAACAACCUCUCUACCCCACAAAGUUAGGGGUAGGGUCUGUGUACACCCCUCCCUCCCUAGGCCCCACUUGUGAGAUCACACUGGGUAUAUUGUUGUUGUCGUUGUAACCUGGCAUUGUAGUUUCAGGCCUGUAUCUUGGCGGGGCAACCCAUAUUAUAGGUUUUUCAGCCAUGGCAGUGUCAAAGAACUCAUUGUCUACUUCGAAAAAUAAAUCCUGAACUAAUGGUGGUGUACCUCUUGAUCACCUAAAUCGAGCGAAACUGUGCCUAUUCGACACACGUUGCUCAAGUUUCCCAAGUGGGCUCUCAAUCUAUGCUCUGAUGCUACUAAUUGGUCCCUUAUUGAGGCAAUGAUGAUCUUCCAAUCUAUGCUCCUAUGCUACUAAUUGAGCAUUGAGAGUACCCGACUCGUAUCUUGGCUGGGCAAUGACCCGGAUGCUUGUGAUUUUGUGAAAAGUUGCAUGCAACUGGGGGAUAUUUGCUGCCAUGGCGUGUCAGGACUUACUUUUCCUGUGCAUAAAUACACAUCUGAGCCUCAAUUGUCACUUGUAUCUUACUUUGGGUGUAUUUGAUAUGGAGGAAAAUGUUUCAGUGAAGCACCCCUAAAGUGGCUGCCUGGUAUAAUUUCUGCAAUUAAGACCUUCGACAUGAGGCCCAUAAUUUUGGGAGGUCCAAAAGGAUUAGGGCACACUAUAAUAUCAAGCAGAAGGAAAUACGAAAAUGGCAAAAAUCUCAUUACUUCAAGUUUGAGGCUGCUGCCACUCUCUGUCAUUCUCAGCAGAAGGUGAAACUAAAAUGGUGAAAAUCUUUGAGUGGUUGUUGCCCCCCUCUGUCAUUCUUAGCAACCAAUGAUCACCCAAAUUUCCUAUUUUCGAAUCACUCUUUAGCAAUUAAGUUCAAUGAGGCAGUGAAGAUUUUGAUUCUUUGCUCAUCAGAUGGUUGAGCUUGCUAUAUCUUGGCGUCGCAUCUUUUGGGGGUUUUGUGAGUGGGAUCUAUUUUGGUUUCUGUGUUUCAGUCUUCUUAAGCUUGCAGGCUGCAGCCAUGGUGGGGUUUAACUUAUAUCUUAGAAAGCAUCUGUUUGUGUUCAACGAAUGAGGCUUUUUAUGGGACUUGAGAAAGGUUGAGAUUUUCUUAGGGUGGUCGCUCUCCUUCUCCGAAGUUCAAUUUAGCCAAUGAAUUUUCCUAUGUUUGUUACAAAGAGAAAGAUUAACAGCCCUUUCAUCAGCAAAAUGCCAAUUAUGGUGAUGAUGCUGAUGCUGAUAGCCAUAGUUAUGGUAGUAAUAAGGAAAAGGCCAAAUUCAUGGAUAGUCCUUAAAAGUUCGCUCGAUUUGCCAGUUAUUUUGUCACUUAAACUUGUCCCUAGAAAUCCUUUUGUACUUGGAUCAACAACAACAACAACAACAACAACUCAGUAGAAUCCUAAACCGUAAACUUUGCGAAUGAGGCUAUGAUGAUAUUCUCCAGGAAGCUUGAAAGUCUUGACAGUCAGAUCAUUUAGCUGAUUUGUAUCUUGGCUACGAAAAGGCAGGUUAAUUUGUGAGGUGGAUUGCUAUGUGCUCUCUCAGAAGGUGUCUGCUUCUUGCAGCCAUGGCGGAUUAGCCCAUUCUUCUGAUAGAUUUUAAGGCAAAUCUGAGCCACUUUUCUGUGUUCAGUUUAGUUUUAGGAUGUGAUGCUUUUUUUCUUUCACAUUUACUACCAAAAUUCCCAAACAUUUCUGGUUAGCCUAUGGUACCUUUCUGAGGAUGAGUUUUCCUUGUAUUGUUCUUCUUUAUCGUCAGUUCAAUUGGUUGAGGAUGUACAAAAGCUUAAUUGGCCUUCAAAGGGUAAACCAUGGAGUUGCAGAAUCUACUGUUAUUGCGAUGGCUUGUUUCUUGUUGGGGUUCGUAAUCCUGAUAAACACCUCAUAUGGACUCUUUGGCAUUAGUACAUGGAGCAUUUCAUUGUCUUUGCUUUGUCACUAAAUAAUUUUGUGGUUUUAGUAUUUCAAAUGAGGUGUACGGAGAGAUACUGUUGCCAGAGGGAUUGUGCUUGAUUUUAAACGUGGCGUACAUAAAAAAUGACGUUUCAGUAUUGGGAGGAAUGCUUUGUGGUUAUUCUACUUAUGACCAUCAGGGGAAGGACACUUUCAAGUUAUGAGUAAUGAAAGACUAUGGUGUCAAGAAAUCUUGGAAUAAUUUGUUUAAUAUACAAGGUACCGAGGAGGCUGUGAUGAUAUUGUUGAAAUGGGUUGAUAUUCAGGGCAUGGAGAACAUCAGACCCGUAUCUUGGCAGGGCAAACCCGAAUAGUUUGUGAUUGAGGCCUUCUCUGUCACAUGCAACCGGUUCUUUUGCAGCCAUGGCGUAGUCGCCUUCUCUUUGCUCCAUUUUGAGCGGAUCUAAGCCUCAAUUGUCUCUUAUAUCUUACUUUGGGUGUAUUUGAUAUGGAGGAAAUUGUUUCACUGAAGCAGCCCUAAAAGUGGCUACCUGGUGUCAUUUCUACAAAUAAGACCUUUCACACGAGGCCUAUAAUUUUGGGAGGUCAAAAAAAUUAGGGCACUAUAGUAUGAAGCAGAAGGUGAAAUGAAAACGGCAAAAAACCCAUUAGUUUAAGUUUGUGGUUGCUGGAUUUUGAUAGUUGUGGCGAGUUGUUCGUGUGGUUGCCCCUCCAUUUCAUUCUUAGCAGCCAAUGAUCACCCAAUGUUUCCCAAUUUCAAACUAUUCUUUAGCAUAUUAAGUUCACUGAGGCAGUGAAGAUUUGUAUUCUUUACUCAUCAUUUGGUUAUCGGAGCUAUCUAGGUUUCUGUAUCUCGCGAAUGCUUGUUAAGUCUGCAGCCAUGGCGGGGUUUAGCUUAUGUAUGAGAAAAGGCAAAUCUGAGCCUCCCACAUAGCUGUUUCUGUUUAAAAAAAUGAGGUUUCUUAAGGAACUCGGAGAAUGGUUGAGAUUUUCCAAGGGUGGUUACUCCCUUUCUCUGAAGUUCAAUGUUGCCAAUGAAUUUUCCUGUACUUCUCUUACCAAGCGAAAGACUAACAGCCCUUUCAUCAGAAAAAUGCCAGAUAUGUUCUAUAAGAUGGGAAAAUAUAUAUUUUGCCCCCUAAACUAGUAUCAAAAACCCGAAUCCUAAACCCUAAACUUUGUGAAUGAGGCUAUGAUGAUAUUCUCCAGGACGCUUGCAGGUCAGACUUUUGAGCUGAUUCGUAUCUUGGCUAGGUAAAGGCAAGGGAAUUUGUGAGGUGGGUUCUUAUGUGCUCUCACACAAAGGUCUCUGCUCUUUGCAGCCAUGGUGGAUUAGCCUUUUUCUGAUAGAUCAAAUCUGAGCCUCUUUUUCUUUGUUAAGUUUAGUGCUACUAUGGGUCUGUUUCUCUUGUUCUUUAAUUAUUUUUAUGUUAACGUUGUAGAAUAUUGGUCUGAGAUGAUCUUUUUCCUGCUUUUGCAUAAUAUCAGGAAGAAUCACAGUUCAAAAGAAAACUGUUAUGUGUUUAUCUACAUAUUUUCCAUUAGUAAAUUAUUAGGUAGUGAUAUGAAACAAGUCCAAAGGGAAUAGAAGUGAAUAUUGAGGAUUCAUAUAUUGUUUUUAACCAGUUUGAUAUUGAAGCUAAUUGCUGAAGUUAUCUUCACAAUUUUCCAAACUUUCAGGCCUUAUUUACAACAACAACAGCCCAGUGUGGUCCCACAAGUGGGGUCUGGGGAGGGUAGUAUGUACGCACCCUUACCCCUACCCUGGAAGGGCAGAGAGACUGUUUCCGAUAGACCCUCGGCUAAAGAAGGUGAGAGAAGACCCAGUGUGGCCUUAUUUCUAUCUUUGAAAUUCCAAGUUUUCAGAGGCAAUGAAGAUCAUUCAUAUAAUGAAAAGGAAAAGUGGAAAAGAUAAGAGUUGAUUCCUUGCCUGGCUUGGCAAGACCGGUCUUUCCUAUAAGGCAACCGAUGAUUGCAGCCAUGGCAGUGUUCACUCUGUUAUUUCCUUUGGUUAAAUAGGCAGAAAUCUGGGGCUUAUCCUCAACUUGGUUUAUUCACAUUUUCUUUUUUUGACAAGUCUUUCUGGAACUAUUCUAGACUAGAAGUAUUUUCGUGGUUCUUUUUGUUCUAUUAUUUGGAAUUCAGGUUCUCCGCUAUUCUGACUGGUUACUGGUUUAUUACAGAUUGGAGAGAGUUAUGGUAUCUCCAACAUCCCAGGAUCAUCUGUCUUCAUACAUAGCCAAAUUCUAACUUGUUCCGUGCUUUGAACAAGUUUUAAGCUAAUUCUCCUUAUUUCAAUCUUAAAAAUCCCAAGUUUCAGAAGCAGUGAAGAUUAUGUAUAAUGAAAACGAAAAGUGAAAAAUGUUUAAUUCAUGGCCUGGCUUGGCGACCAGUUGGUUUGGUUACAUUUUCUUUUUUGACAAGUCUUUCUGGAAAUAAUUCUAGACUAGAAAUAUUGUUGUGGUUCUUUUUGGUCUAUUAUUUUAUCUUCAGGUUCUCCUUUACCCUGAUUCCUGACUGGUUACUGGUUUGUUACAGAUUAGAGGUAGUUAUGGUAUCUCCGAUUUACCAGGAUAAUUUGACUUUGUGAGAGCUAAAUUCCAACUCGUUCAGUGCUUUGAACAAGUUCUAAGCUAAUUCACGUUAGUUCUCUUGCUCUCUUCGAUGAGUACAUGCUGCAGUUCAAGAGAGGCCUGAUCGCCAACACCUGCGGGGAAUGAAGAAAACCGGUCAGUUUAAGAACUAAACUUAUCUAGCAGCUGGUUGACUUGUCUAAAAUUGAAUUCUGACUCCAUAGAGUGAAACUUCAAGCAGUUCUCUUAUAUAUAGGAACUAAGAUUUUGUUGGUGAUCUCUUGUGCAUAAUUGAAACUGAGGUGUAGAUUCAGCAUAGAACUGACCUUUCUAAGAUUCUUGAAAUCAUUUCCGAUACAUUUGAGCAGAAGAUUGAUGUUCAUUAGAAUUCUUAAAAGAUCAAGUAUUGUGUGCCUUUAGAUCCUGUCUUUUCUUUCUUUUUUUCUUAUUCUUUUUAUAUUAUUAAUCAAAGAUAAUGCACUUGUUCAAGUGUGCUUCAUUGUUACU
Long non-coding RNA from Nicotiana attenuata, 21231 nucleotides. RefSeq lists it as uncharacterized. NCBI's taxonomy places the organism in Eukaryota, Viridiplantae, Streptophyta, Magnoliopsida, Solanales, Solanaceae. The transcript has 2 exons. The record is from RefSeq and is a predicted model, not a curated record.